Molecule: microRNA precursor, 106 nt
Filed under: Solanum pimpinellifolium
Lineage: Eukaryota; Viridiplantae; Streptophyta; Magnoliopsida; Solanales; Solanaceae
Description: microRNA MIR167_1
Rfam family: MIR167 microRNA precursor family
Source: RNAcentral
AGAGUGGAACAAGUGAAGCUGCCAGCAUGAUCUAAACUUGGCCAUUUAUAAAGAAAAUGGGUGACUAAGGUUAGGUCAUGCUCGGACAGCCUCACUCCUUCCUUUC